AGAUUUAAAUUUCAGAUGAUACAUAUUGGAGAGCAUUAGGAUCACUUUUUAUUUAGUAUGCUUUCUCUCUCCUUUAGUUAUAGAUUUAUGCGAUUAAGUUCCAUAAGAUCUCUCCUUCUGAGAUUUUUUUUCUCCCCCUCAAUUGAUCAUUCCAUUUAAGAGUUUAGAAUUUGAAGAUAAUGUUCAAUAAAAUUGUCAAUCU
Molecule: long non-coding RNA, 202 nt
Filed under: Phoenix dactylifera (date palm)
Lineage: Eukaryota; Viridiplantae; Streptophyta; Magnoliopsida; Arecales; Arecaceae
Description: long non-coding RNA (PDAC_LNC008214)
Source: RNAcentral